UACGUAGGGGGCUAGCGUUGUCCGGAUUUAUUGGGCGUAAAGCGCGUGUAGGCGGCCAGGUAGGUCCGCUGUGAAAACCCGAGGCUCAACCUCGAGACGCCGGUGGAAACUGCAAAGCUAGAGUCCGGAAGAGGAGAGUGGAAUUCCUGGUGUAGCGGUGAAAUGCGCAGAUAUCUGGAGGAACACCGGUGGCGAAGGCGGCAUCCUGGACCGACACUGACGCUGAGGCGCGAAAGCGUGGGGAGCAAACAGG
Molecule: ribosomal RNA, 253 nt
Filed under: uncultured bacterium
Lineage: Bacteria
Description: partial 16S ribosomal RNA
Rfam family: Bacterial small subunit ribosomal RNA
Source: RNAcentral